RNAcentral lists this ribosomal RNA (492 nucleotides) under uncultured bacterium. Its description in RNAcentral is "partial 16S ribosomal RNA". It matches the Rfam family "Bacterial small subunit ribosomal RNA", at positions 30 to 507 of the family's 1533-position model. The record is from RNAcentral.
AUUGAACGCUGGCGGCAUGCUUUACACAUGCAAGUCGAACGGUAACAGGCCUUCGGGUGCUGACGAGUGGCGAACGGGUGAGUAAUGCAUCGGAACGUGCCCAGAGGUGGGGGAUAACGCAGCGAAAGCUGUGCUAAUACCGCAUGUGAUCUGAGGAUGAAAGCGGGGGACCAGGCAGCAAUGUUUGGCCUCGCGCCUUUGGAGCGGCCGAUGUCAGAUUAGGUAGUUGGUGGGGUAAAGGCCUACCAAGCCGACGAUCUGUAGCUGGUCUGAGAGGACGACCAGACACACUGGGACUGAGACACGGCCCAGACUCCUACGGGAGGCAGCAGUGGGGAAUUUUGGACAAUGGGCGCAAGCCUGAUCCAGCAAUGCCGCGUGCGGGAAGAAGGCCUUCGGGUUGUAAACCGCUUUUGUACGGAACGAAAAGGCUCUGGCUAAUACCUGGGGCUGAUGACGGUACCGUAAGAAUAAGCACCGGCUAACUACGUA